AGGCACAGACUGAAUGCGUACCUUUGAAUAUCUAAACUCGAAUGAAGGCAACAUACAAAACUCAUGAUAUUCAGACAACAAAUGCAAUCAGACAAAGGGGUGCAACACAAUCAUUUGGAGGAGAAGUGAGAAGUUUGGCGGACUUUUGGAACCUUUGGCAUCUGAGUGGCGACAUGAGAAGCAGAAACAGUAGAGAAGAAGUGACGAACUGAGAAGUCUGCUAUCCUUCCGCAUCGCGGAGCAAAGGCGCAAGAAUUCUAUCUCUGACUAAUGGCACAAUCAGGCUUUUCAUCCGCAUCGCGUGAAGAAAGCGAGCAAAACAAGUGUUUGACCAAGUUUCAUGUUCAGGCGAUGCUUCUGCAUCGCUGAAGAAAAGCUCAAGUUCUGUUCAGCCUAUCCUUCCGCAUCGCCAAAGGAAAGCGAGUCUCUUCCUGUUUCGAUCGGGAUUAGGUCUACUUAUUUUUUGUUUUAACCCUAGACUAUAAAUUGAUGUUUUAUUAGUUGUAAACGACGUGAUGGGAUUAUUCUAAGACUUUUAAGCCGUCACUUUACUUUCUCUCUCUAGAAUUUUCUUAUUUCUUCUUUUUAACCCUAGAUUAUUCAUGAAUUCUUGUUCUUCAUCUAGAAUCAUGAGUAGCUAAACUUCUUAAAUCUGGGGUUGUGACGAAAGACAUGAUAGUUGGUUUGGCGAAAAUUUCUAUCAAUUAAAUUUUCUUAUUUUGGGUUGCUUA
Lycium ferocissimum is the source of this 731-nucleotide long non-coding RNA. RefSeq lists it as uncharacterized. NCBI's taxonomy places the organism in Eukaryota, Viridiplantae, Streptophyta, Magnoliopsida, Solanales, Solanaceae. The record is from RefSeq and is a predicted model, not a curated record. The transcript has 2 exons.